This is a long non-coding RNA of Anarrhichthys ocellatus (wolf-eel), 521 nucleotides long. RefSeq lists it as uncharacterized. The transcript is spliced from 3 exons. The record is from RefSeq and is a predicted model, not a curated record. Lineage: Eukaryota; Metazoa; Chordata; Actinopteri; Perciformes; Anarhichadidae.
UUUUAAACCUCAUCACAUAUAAUAUGUUAAACUGAAUGUGUUGUAGUGAUUCUCCGAUGCUGCAGGUGGCGGUAGAGCGAUUCAACCUGCGGUUACAAACCGCCUUUAAGAAUCAGAGAAGAAGAAAGUCACAAUAAAUCUGUAAACAAACCAAACUAAACCGAUUACUGGCGGUGCCACAGCGGGUUAAAUAAGAAGAUGGAGACCUUCAGCAGACGGGACUUGAACGGAAUCUACUCUGUGGUGUUGCUGACUGUGGUGGUCUUGUCCUGGUCCUACGUGAUCUACGCCAGCAGGAUCGCAGCUCAUUGGCUGCUGGAGGAGAGGACCGCCCUCCUACAGCAGCACUGACAGCCCAUUGGACGCCUGACACAGACCAGUAGAGACCGGACCUACUGGACCACGUUGUGGAGACACCUCAGAAGUGGACUGAACCUGGACGUCUUCAUGAGGACUAUGAGAACACUGAGACAUACUGGUCUACCUCAUGAGGACCAUGAGAACACUGAGACAUACUGGUC